This 445-nucleotide ribosomal RNA is filed under the name uncultured archaeon. RNAcentral describes it as "bacterial SSU rRNA". It matches the Rfam family "Archaeal small subunit ribosomal RNA", at positions 155 to 600 of the family's 1478-position model. The record is from RNAcentral.
GAUAGAUCAUAAAUGCUGGAAUGCUUUAUGAUUGAAAGGUUUCGACCGCCUUAGGAUGGAUCUGCGGCCUAUCAGGUUGUAGUGGGUGUAAUGUACCUACUAGCCUACGACGGGUACGGGUUGUGGAAGCAAGAGCCCGGAGAUGGAUUCUGAGACAUGAAUCCAGGCCCUACGGGGCGCAGCAGGCGCGAAAACUUUACAAUGCGGGAAACCGUGAUAAGGGAACACUGAGUGCUAGCAUUUAUGUUAGCUGUCCACAUGUGUAACUAGCAUGUGAUAGCAAGGGCUGGGCAAGACCGGUGCCAGCCGCCGCGGUAACACCGGCAGCCCGAGUGGUGAUCACUAUUAUUGGGUCUAAAGGGUCCGUAGCCGGUUUAAUCAGUCUUCUGGGAAAUCUAAUCGCUUAACUAUUAGGCUUCCAGGGGAUACUGUUAGACUUGGGACC